Molecule: non-coding RNA, 635 nt
Organism: Rhinichthys klamathensis goyatoka
Lineage: Eukaryota; Metazoa; Chordata; Actinopteri; Cypriniformes; Leuciscidae
Source: the annotation of a RefSeq genome assembly
AUUUAUAACUCUGAGUCUGAACACUGAGAAUCUGAACCAACAGCAACCAUGAGCUUCAUCUUCAUCAUCUUCAUCUGGAUGUUCUCCAGCUGUUUCACAGAAUCAGUUGGUGAAGUGACAGUCACUCAGACGCCUGCAGUGAAACCUGUUCCUCUCAGAGACACAGUUACUAUAUCCUGUAAAACCAGUCCUGAAGUCUAUCAGGGUUGGGGUGUUCAGCCUCUAUCCUGGUACUUACAGAAACCUGGAGAAGCUCCUAAACUCCUGAUUUAUUACGCAAACCGCCUCCAGUCAGGAACUCCAUCUAGAUUCAGUGGCAGUGGAUCUAACAGUGAUUUCACUCUGACCAUCAGUGGAGUCCAGACUGAAGAUGCUGGACAUUAUUACUGUAUGAGUGUACACUGUCCUAGUAGCUGUGUGUUCACACAGUGAUAAAGAGUCGUACAAAAACCUCCGUCAGUCAGAGUCACAGUGACUGAACUGAAACUGCAGCUGCUCAAAGGAGGAUCUGAAAUAACAUCGUCACACUUGCAUUUGAAAUAAAACCAUAUAAAUUAAUCUGACACUCUUAAUAAUUAUAGAGUUCAGAAAGAGAUUUUGUGCUCUUAUAGAUCAGUGACACAUUUGAGAUCUGA